Molecule: long non-coding RNA, 605 nt
Filed under: Homo sapiens (human)
Lineage: Eukaryota; Metazoa; Chordata; Mammalia; Primates; Hominidae
Description: non-protein coding lnc-DIAPH3-4:1
Source: RNAcentral
AAAAUGGACCAAUCAGCAGGAUGUGGGUGGGGCCAGAUAAGGGAAUAAAACCAGGGCACUUGAGCCAGCAGCAGCAACCUGCUCAGGUGCCCUUCCACCUUGUUCUUCUGCUCUUUGCAAUAAAUUUUACUGCUGCUCAUUCUUUGGGUCCGCACUGCCUUUAUGAGGUAUAACACCGUGAAGGUUGGCAGCCUCACUUCUAAAGCCAGCGAGACCACAAACCCACCAGGAGGGACAAACAACUCUGGACGUGCCACUUUAUGAACUGUAACAGUCAGUGCAAAGGUCUGCAGCUUCACUCCUGAGGCUAGCGAGACCAGGAACCCACCAGAAGGGACAAACAACUCCAGACGCCUCACCUUAAAAGCUGUAACACUUACAGUGAAGCUCUGCAGCUUCACUCAAACCCAGCGAGACCACGAACCCACCAGAAGGAAGAAACUCCGAACACGUCCGAACAUCACAAGGAACAAACUCCAGAUACCAUCUUUAAGAACUGUAACACUCACUGCAAGUUAAAAGAAGAAAACUGUACUGAAGAAAGUAACCAAUAGUCCAUUAGUAAAUCGGGUGAUAAAAUGUUUGAAGUGAAGAACCAAAGUUGG